Mauremys mutica (yellowpond turtle) is the source of this 304-nucleotide long non-coding RNA. RefSeq lists it as uncharacterized. The transcript has 3 exons. Lineage: Eukaryota; Metazoa; Chordata; Testudines; Geoemydidae. The record is from RefSeq and is a predicted model, not a curated record.
CUAAAAGAGACCAGUCAUGUCUCCAAGUUCUCCUGGAGUAGUUUCUACUAAUUAAUAUGUUGGUGAGACAGGCCGGGAUAGAAACCAGCCAAUGCAGGCCAUGAGCACCACAGCAGCGUGGACUCCGAAGGGUCUCUCCUGGAGAAAUGGCUCUCUGUGAGGCUCUUGCUAUGGGAAGGAGCAGCCUGGAAGAGAGUUGAAGCUUUUAAAUUUGGUCAAUAUUUUUAAACUUGUAGAUUCCCCAAUGGCUGUUUUAGACAUGUUCUUACUGCAGAUUGAGAAAUAAAAUCUCCCUUUGUGUAAA